RNAcentral lists this ribosomal RNA (256 nucleotides) under Clostridioides difficile. Its description in RNAcentral is "partial 16S ribosomal RNA". It matches the Rfam family "Bacterial small subunit ribosomal RNA", at positions 1287 to 1533 of the family's 1533-position model. The record is from RNAcentral. Lineage: Bacteria; Bacillati; Bacillota; Clostridia; Peptostreptococcales; Peptostreptococcaceae.
CUCAGUUCGGAUUGUAGGCUGAAACUCGCCUACAUGAAGCUGGAGUUACUAGUAAUCGCAGAUCAGAAUGCUGCGGUGAAUGCGUUCCCGGGUCUUGUACACACCGCCCGUCACACCACGGGAGUUGGAGACGCCCGAAGCCGAUUAUCUAACCUUUUGGAAGAAGUCGUCGAAGGUGGAAUCAAUAACUGGGGUGAAGUCGUAACAAGGUAGCCGUAUCGGAAGGGGCGGCUGGAUCACCUCCUUUCUAAGGAGA